AGUACAGACGGGGUUUCGCCAUGUUGGCCGGGAUGGUCUCGAUCUCCUGACCUCGUUAUCCGCCUGUCUCGGCCUCCCAAAGUGCUGAGAUUACAGACGUGAGCCACCGAUCCGGGCCCUUGCACGUAUUUUCUUAUGAACACACAGGUAGCAGCACUUUGAUUACAGUAACUUAUAUGGAAGUUAUUUUAAAAUGACUUUCCCCUUCUCUUCCUCAUGUAGGCUGUAUAUUUCAUCUGCAGCACGCUUUCUCCCAAGAAUCUCAAGCGCACACAGGAAACCAGAGAAUAACAUCACUGAGGCUUGAACACAUCCAGAGACCAAGGGCGUCACUGGCAGAAAAGCUUUUAGGCGAAUCCAUAGGCCCGAGAGCCACCCCGCCCAGAGACGUGGCUUCCUAUGAGCAGUUCACACGCGGCUCUGCAGCACCCACAAGCGGGGCCAGGGGCUGGUUUUCAUAGUUCACAGUCUGCAGGGAUCUUAGCAAAAAUAUGGCCGUGGUAAAAGUGCCUAGACCAGGCUCACUGAGUAGGAAGACUAGUUAGGCUGAUGAAAAGCUCUGAUGAGUCAUGUUACUAGGCUGGGAUAAUAAAAAGGACUGUUGAACUUCACAUCUGCCAUCUAUAACACAUUCUUAAUGAAGCAGUCUUGCACCAGGGGAUUUAUCAACUCUGCCAAAUUUCCUAAAAUUACCAAAUGGAGAAAAAAGAGCUGUUCCCGCCUCUCACCAGGCACAACCAGCACAAUAUCUGACUUUCACUGUGAUGACUGGAGACAGGAUGGGGUCUGAAUGCUGGUCUUCAACGCACCAUACAACAGUGCCAGACCCUCAACUGUAUGAAGGGGAACAGAGCCCUCCUUAAAAGAUUUACUGGAGUUAACACCUGGGGAUCCUCAAGAAAUGAACGCUAUCACUGUUCUGCUUCAGAAGUUUGGAACCAAAACUGCAAUGUCCCCAAGACAUGCCUGUAGGUACACGAGUCCAUACUGAUAAAUGACUGAAUAAACAGGAGAGAAGAAACAAAUCUUCAAGAAGAAUAACAUGCACAGAUUCUGCUCUCUCCCGGGGUUGGAGCUUAAACCUCCUCAACCCACAGAGUAUGGAAAGGGAAAACAGGAACCUGACAGUGGAGAAACCUGGCAGACACCACUGUGACCAGGUGGCCAGGGUGAGCACGAGCACUGCCUGGGGUAGGUGACGUGGUGGUUACAACCACCCAGCAGGAUGUGAUGAGAAAGGUGCUUGAGAAACAUCAGACCAACUCCAAUGGAGGGACAUUCUUCAGACUGCCCGGCCAGCACUCCUCAGAACUGUCAGGGUCAUGAGAAACAAGGGAAGUCUGAGGAACUGUCACAGGCCAGAGACCGCAAAGGAGACGGGAUGACUAAAUGCAGUGUGUGCCUGGAUGGGACUCUGGGACAGAAAGCAGACAUUAGGGAAAAACUGAAAUCCAAAUAAAGGCUGGAUUUUAGUUAAUGGUGACUACCAAUGUUGGUUUCUUAGUCGUGGCAAAUGUCCCAUGGCGGCGUAAGAGGUUAACAGCGGGGGGACUACGUGAGGGGCACAUGGACGCUCUCUGUACUCGCGCUGCCAUUUUCCUGUCAAUCUAAAAUUAGACCAAAAUAAAAGUUUAUUGGAAAAGACAAAUAAA
Molecule: non-coding RNA, 1652 nt
Organism: Chlorocebus sabaeus (green monkey)
Lineage: Eukaryota; Metazoa; Chordata; Mammalia; Primates; Cercopithecidae
Source: RefSeq, a predicted model, not a curated record